Molecule: ribosomal RNA, 420 nt
Filed under: bacterium
Lineage: Bacteria
Also listed under: 1 other name
Description: partial 16S ribosomal RNA
Rfam family: Bacterial small subunit ribosomal RNA
Source: RNAcentral
UGGGGGAUAUUGCACAAUGGGCGAAAGCCUGAUGCAGCGACGCCGCGUGGGGGAUGAAGGCUUUCGGGUUGUAAACCUCUUUCGCUAUCGAACAAGGCCCGCUUAGGGUGGGUUGAGGGUAGGUGGAGAAGAAGCGCCGGCUAACUACGUGCCAGCAGCCGCGAUAAUACGUAGGGCGCGAGCGUUGUCCGGAAUUAUUGGGCGUAAAGGGCUUGUAGGCGGCUUGUUGCGCCUGCUGUGAAAACGCGGGGCUUAACUUCGCGCGUGCAGUGGGUACGGGCAGGCUUGAGUGUGGUAGGGGUGACUGGAAUUCCAGGUGUAGCGGUGGAAUGCGCAGAUAUCUGGAGGAACACCGAUGGCGAAGGCAGGUCACUGGGCCAUUACUGACGCUGAGGAGCGAAAGCAUGGGUAGCGAACAGG